RNAcentral lists this unclassified non-coding RNA (402 nucleotides) under Hevea brasiliensis (rubber tree). The record is from RNAcentral. Lineage: Eukaryota; Viridiplantae; Streptophyta; Magnoliopsida; Malpighiales; Euphorbiaceae.
UCUCUCUCUCUCUCUCUCUCUCUCUACUGCCUUUAUGCUUCCCUUCUCCGCCGAAUCCCUCUCUUCGUCCGUCGCUUCCUCCGAAAUCUGCCCAGCCAAAUCUCAUACUUCUGCUUCGCUCCCGAUACGAACACCGCACUCUUCACUUCCGGCAUAUUUGUUUCUCGGAAACAGCAUUUCUUCUUCUUUUAGUUUCUGGAAAUCAUUCGGUCGAUUGAAAACUUUAGGGUUUAGAGAGGCAUGAGGCUGCACGAUGAGAUUGUACCGUUUCAUAGAAGCGGAAUACGAGGAGAUGAAGAAUAUGUAGAAGGAGAUGAAGAGGAGGAAAUUUCCUCUAUAGAAGCUGGGUUUCUUCCUCCUCACCAUCCUUGUCCUCUCCAGAGGAAACUCGUUGUUGUUGGU